RNAcentral lists this long non-coding RNA (422 nucleotides) under Pogona vitticeps (central bearded dragon). RNAcentral's name for it is "lncRNA (ENSPVIG00000004369.1)". Lineage: Eukaryota; Metazoa; Chordata; Lepidosauria; Squamata; Agamidae. The record is from RNAcentral.
CAGUAUAAAUAACCUGAUUGUUCCAUUCUUUGAAAAAACACACACCGAAUACCAUCAAGGACCGUUUUCCUGAACACGGUUAAGCAAACAACAAUUCCAUAGCUUGAGCUGGAAUGUGUCAGAACAUCCUUCUACACUAGAAGAGGAGCAGGAAAACAUCAUUGUCCAUGGAGGGAUUUCUUCAGCAAAGAGACGUGUCAGAUUUUCAGCCCUUUUGGCUUUUAGGAUCUGACACCCCAUUCUCUCAAUGCACCCCUUUCUCUCAAGUCACAUCAUGUUAAAGCACGAUUACGGAGAAACAGAGGAUCCCAGCACAGAAGAGUUAAGAAGUAAUAUGCGGUUGAAUGCCAGCCAUUAAGUUGUAGCCCGUGGACGUACAGACAUAAAAUAUUCCUUUGGUAUUGUAAAGAUCUUUGAAUAGG